This 497-nucleotide ribosomal RNA is filed under the name uncultured bacterium. RNAcentral's name for it is "partial 16S ribosomal RNA". It matches the Rfam family "Bacterial small subunit ribosomal RNA", at positions 28 to 507 of the family's 1533-position model. The record is from RNAcentral.
GAUGAACGCUGGCGGCGUGCCUAAUACAUGCAAGUCGAGCGAACGGACGAGAAGCUUGCUUCUCUGAUAUUAGCGGCGGACGGGUGAGUAACACGUGGAUAACCUACCUAUAAGACUGGGAUAACUUCGGGAAACCGUAGCUAAUACCGGAUAAUAUUUUGAACCGCAUGGUUCAAAAGUGAAAGACGGUUUUGCUGUCACUUAUAGAUGGAUCCGCGCUGCAUUAGCUAGUUGGUAAGGUAACGGCUUACCAAGGCAACGAUGCAUAGCCGACCUGAGAGGGUGAUCGGCCACACUGGAACUGAGACACGGUCCAGACUCCUACGGGAGGCAGCAGUAGGGAAUCUUCCGCAAUGGGCGAAAGCCUGACGGAGCAACGCCGCGUGAGUGAUGAAGGUCUUCGGAUCGUAAAACUCUGUUAUUAGGGAAGAACAUAUGUGUAAGUAACUGUGCGCAUCUUGACGGUACCUAAUCAGAAAGCCACGGCUAACUACGUG